This is a non-coding RNA of Cynocephalus volans (Philippine flying lemur), 465 nucleotides long. NCBI's taxonomy places the organism in Eukaryota, Metazoa, Chordata, Mammalia, Dermoptera, Cynocephalidae. The record is from the annotation of a RefSeq genome assembly.
AUGAGACUGUGGGGUCUUCUCCUUUGCCUGGUGACAGCUCUCCAAGGUGUCCUGUCCGAGGUGCAGCUGCAGGAGUCGGGCCCAGGACUGGUGAAGCCCUCGCAGACCCUCUCCCUCACCUGCACAGUCUCUGGUGACUCCAUCACAACCAGUUAUUACUACUGGAGCUGGAUCCGCCAGCCCACGGGGAAGAGCCUUGAGUGGAUGGGAAUAAUUGCUUAUGAUGGAGGCACAGCUUAUAACCCGUCCGUCAAGAGCCGCACCUCCAUCACCAGAGACACGUCCAAGAACCAGUUCUCCCUGCAGCUGAGCUCUGUGACUGAUGAGGACACGGGCGUGUAUUACUGUGCGAGAGACACAGUGACAGGAAGACAGCGUUUCCUGUCCAAGUCGCAGCUGCAGGAAACACGGCUGUGCCUGGUGAGGCCCUCACAGAACCUGUUCCUCACUUGCACUAUUUCUUGA